RNAcentral lists this unclassified non-coding RNA (536 nucleotides) under Penicillium expansum. RNAcentral's name for it is "partial contains 18S rRNA, ITS1, 5.8S rRNA, ITS2 and 28S RNA". The stretch from base 158 to 310 matches the Rfam family "5.8S ribosomal RNA". The record is from RNAcentral. Lineage: Eukaryota; Fungi; Ascomycota; Eurotiomycetes; Eurotiales; Aspergillaceae.
GGUCCAACCUCCCACCCGUGUUUAUUUACCUCGUUGCUUCGGCGGGCCCGCCUUAACUGGCCGCCGGGGGGCUCACGCCCCCGGGCCCGCGCCCGCCGAAGACACCCCCGAACUCUGCCUGAAGAUUGUCGUCUGAGUGAAAAUAUAAAUUAUUUAAAACUUUCAACAACGGAUCUCUUGGUUCCGGCAUCGAUGAAGAACGCAGCGAAAUGCGAUACGUAAUGUGAAUUGCAAAUUCAGUGAAUCAUCGAGUCUUUGAACGCACAUUGCGCCCCCUGGUAUUCCGGGGGGCAUGCCUGUCCGAGCGUCAUUGCUGCCCUCAAGCCCGGCUUGUGUGUUGGGCCCCGUCCUCCGAUUCCGGGGGACGGGCCCGAAAGGCAGCGGCGGCACCGCGUCCGGUCCUCGAGCGUAUGGGGCUUUGUCACCCGCUCUGUAGGCCCGGCCGGCGCUUGCCGAUCAACCCAAAUUUUUAUCCAGGUUGACCUCGGAUCAGGUAGGGAUACCCGCUGAACUUAAGCAUAUCAAUAAGCGGAGGA